AUGUCUGCUUCUUUGAUACUAGUCCAUUAUUUCCUUUUACUCCAAAAUAGUCAAAUGUUUCUAGUAAGUUACAAUCAUCCUCUCCAGAUGUCCUUAAUCUUCCGAAUGCACCCGCCCUUAUAUCUAUUCCCACCUACCUUUCACACCUAUCAACAGAGACCACUUCCACCACCUUCUCCUUAA
Vicia faba (fava bean) is the source of this 183-nucleotide non-coding RNA. Lineage: Eukaryota; Viridiplantae; Streptophyta; Magnoliopsida; Fabales; Fabaceae. The record is from the annotation of a GenBank genome assembly.